GUGCUCACUUUGGCAACAUGUAUACUAAAAUUGGCACAACACAGAGAACUUAGCAUGGCUCCCGCACAAGGAUACACAUUUUUUUUUCAGCAUUAUGUAAUGUAUUU
Molecule: small nuclear RNA, 107 nt
Organism: Phodopus roborovskii (desert hamster)
Lineage: Eukaryota; Metazoa; Chordata; Mammalia; Rodentia; Cricetidae
Source: RefSeq, a predicted model, not a curated record